UUUUGGAUCAUUUUUCUUUGUUUCAUUUUAAUGAUAAUUAUUUUCUACAAAAUACAAAUUGGGUCAUUUUUGUUGUAUCAUUUAAAUUCUGGCCCAAUUAAAUUAACACACAAUACAAAAUUCAUUCAAAAUAACAAAUUAACAAUACAUACUCAACAAACAGUAAAAAAAAAUACAUACUCAACAAAAACUAUUAAAAAUAUUACACACUUUUCAUAAACAAUUGAAGAACCAGAUUGGAUUUAUAUAUCCCAAAGACAGAGUCAUGUAACCCUCUUCAUGUAACCCCUCCACAACAUCACAAAAGGAAUAAUAUCAAUGACUUAUAAGGUUUCUUCCUUCAAGCCUCCAAACCUUAAGAGCUUCAUAGGAGUAAAACAACACAAAAACCAGCACACUACAACGACCUGCUAAAACAAAAUAACCAAUCAACCUAUAUAAAAUUGUGUUAAAGAUGACAAUGAACACAUAACUAAAGCAACUAAAUAAGCUCAAAAAAUACAAGCAUAACAGAUCAACAUUAGAAGGCUUACCUUUCAACUUUCACAACAGAUCUGAAAGAUGCAAAUCAAGAUUGAAGGUUCUCAAACUCUAAAUCAAGAAUAACCAAUAUUAGUAGUAAAAUAGUAACAUAAAAAAGAUUAAGUUGAAUGUUCUCAAACCCUAAAUCACUACCUUUGUUUGCUAUCACCAAUCCUGGUAAACCUAAAAAUUAAAAUUAAAAUAAUCAAUCCAUUAAUUAGCAAAUGAAAAGCAAAAGCCUAAGAAAAACAUAGCAUCAAACUAAAUCCAUACAAAAAAUAAGAUUAAGAAUAGAUACUUAAGUUAACUAAAUCCCUACAAAAUAGUAAGAUUAAAAACAGAUCAUUAAACUAUGUAAAUCCACACAAAAUAGUAAGAUUAAAAAUAAAGGCUUAAACUAACUAAAUCCACACAAAAUAGUAACAUUAAAAUCAGAGACUUAUGAAAAAUGAAAACCAUAAUACUAAAACUCUUAAAAUCGAUUGAAGAAGAAUGAUAAACAAAGACUUUGAAGCUUGAAUAACAAAUUCCAACUCUAAAACCACACAAAAUAACAAAACCUAUCUCUAAAACCCUAAAAAGAGGAAUUAAAAUGAUGAAAUGAAUGAGACUUAAGAAGGAUGAAGAUAAAAUCAAAAGGAACACAAAAAUAUCUCUAGAUCUUGCAAAGAUGGUGGCUGAGAAUGAAACAAAGGGAGAGAAAUAAAAUACAGAGGAAGAAAAGGAUGGAGAAUGAAACCUUGAGCUCUAUGAAGAUGGCGGCUGGGUGUGAGACGACGGUGGUGGAGCGGCGAUGUUUGAGAUCUUCACUCCUUCUCUCUCUGGCUGCGCUGUGCUAGGGUUUGUUUGAAGAGAGAGAAUAUGUUGUGUUUUUGAAGAGUGGUGUCCGUGUUUUGUUCUAAAACUAGGAAAAAAUAAAAAUAAAAACAUAUCUAUAAGUACUACGGGUCGGUUCGGCUACCCGUGGAUGAAAAAUCCUGAACCGAACCCGACCGACUCUAGUCACAUGAAACCGAUUUAUUGGGCCACUGAACCCGUUUUGCUGUUUGGACCCGACCCGUUUCGGUUUUGUUUUUUCGGGCAAGCCGGGUUGGGCUGGUUAAUCGGGUUUUGUCCAGC
This 1641-nucleotide long non-coding RNA is filed under the name Trifolium pratense (red clover). RNAcentral's name for it is "long non-coding RNA (TPRA_LNC013269)". Lineage: Eukaryota; Viridiplantae; Streptophyta; Magnoliopsida; Fabales; Fabaceae. The record is from RNAcentral.